Molecule: ribosomal RNA, 400 nt
Filed under: phytoplankton environmental sample
Lineage: Eukaryota
Description: partial small subunit ribosomal RNA
Rfam family: Eukaryotic small subunit ribosomal RNA
Source: RNAcentral
AGCUCCAAUAGCGUAUAUUAAAGUUGUUGCAGUUAAAAAGCUCGUAGUCGUGUUUAUUUCUGGAUUUGUGUGUUGGUUGGAAUUUGAUUUCAGCUCGAUAUGUAAUUUAGGAAUCUUUGUUUGAUUUUGUUAGUUUCUUGAUUGAGAUUAUCAUUUAUUAGACAUCUUUUACUGUGAGAAAAUUAGAGUGUUCAAGGCAAUCAUUCAUGAUAUGAAUAGUUUAGCAUGGAAUAAUGAGAUAAGACUUUUUUAAUAGUUUAGGCAAUAUUUGAAAAGUAAUGACUGAAAGAAGCAGUUGGGGGUGCUAGUAUUCAACGGCCAGAGGUGAAAUUCAAUGACCCGUUGACGACUAACUUUUGCGAAAGCGUUCACCAAGGAUGUGUUCUUUGAUCAAGAACGA